CCUACGGGUGGCUGCAGUGGGGAAUAUUGCACAAUGGGCGCAAGCCUGAUGCAGCCAUGCCGCGUGUGUGAAGAAGGCCUUCGGGUUGUAAAGCACUUUCAGCGGGGAGGAAGGCGGUUAGGUUAAUAACCUCAUCGAUUGACGUUACCCGCAGAAGAAGCACCGGCUAACUCCGUGCCAGCAGCCGCGGUAAUACGGAGGGUGCAAGCGUUAAUCGGAAUUACUGGGCGUAAAGCGCACGCAGGCGGUCUGUCAAGUCGGAUGUGAAAUCCCCGGGCUCAACCUGGGAACUGCAUUCGAAACUGGCAGGCUAGAGUCUUGUAGAGGGGGGUAGAAUUCCAGGUGUAGCGGUGAAAUGCGUAGAGAUCUGGAGGAAUACCGGUGGCGAAGGCGGCCCCCUGGACAAAGACUGACGCUCAGGUGCGAAAGCGUGGGGAGCAAACAGGAUUAGAUACCCCAGUAGUC
Molecule: ribosomal RNA, 465 nt
Filed under: uncultured Klebsiella sp.
Lineage: Bacteria; Pseudomonadati; Pseudomonadota; Gammaproteobacteria; Enterobacterales; Enterobacteriaceae
Description: bacterial SSU rRNA
Rfam family: Bacterial small subunit ribosomal RNA
Source: RNAcentral